This 265-nucleotide ribosomal RNA is filed under the name uncultured prokaryote. RNAcentral describes it as "partial 16S ribosomal RNA". It matches the Rfam family "Bacterial small subunit ribosomal RNA", at positions 524 to 788 of the family's 1533-position model. The record is from RNAcentral.
UACGAGGGGUGCAAGCGUUGUUCGGAAUCACUGGGCGUAAAGGGCGCGUAGGCGGCCUGUUAAGUCCGAUGUUAAAGACUGGGGCUCAACCCCAGCAUUGCGUUGGAUACUGGCAGGCUUGACGGUUGGAGAGGCGAGCGGAAUUACCAGUGUAGCGGUGAAAUGCGUAGAUACUGGUAGGAACACCCACUGCGAAGGCAGCUCGCUGGACAACACGUGACGCUGAGGCGCGAAAGUGUGGGGAGCAAACCGGAUUAGAUACCCG